AGAGAGAGAGAGGCGAUGAGGCCUGGGACACGGAGAAAGAAACAGAGAAAAAGGAGGAAGGAAGAUGAAGCGGCCUUCAGCAUAAGCACGAAAAAAGCCUUUCCCAGGAACUCUCGAUAUCAGACCAUUCUUUCUCGAGGUAGAGAGGAACAGAGACAGAGUUCGUAAGAGGGAGAACCGUCAGACUCCUGUGACCCCACGAAAUCCUGCGACGCUUGAAGAGAAAGAACAGAAGCCUGCCGCCACCAGUCAGCCAGCGAAACCACUACCGGUAAAACGGUAAAACUGAUUUCUUUCGUUUUCCCUUUCAGUUGUAGUGCUUUGGAUUUUAUUUCUUAAUCUUCUUCUCCUUCUGAGUGAAAAUUUGUUUGUUAAAAAAAAAAACUCUGCCAUUUUUUUUCUACCGUUUGGAGGAGAAUGAAAAAAUAAAGGUCUCACGUAGGGGAAGAUAGAGAGAGGCUGGAACCACUACUGGUGAGUUUUUAUCUUUGCAUUUAAGUUUGUUUGUUAAAUAUGAUUAGGUUUAGAUAUUUUGUUUGGAUUGGUUUUGAUUUGGAUCAGGCUUUGGUAUUUUUUUGGGUCUUUUUUAUCUCCACAUUUAAGUUUGUUUAAUAAAUAUGAUUACGUUUCAAAAUCAAUUUCUCUA
Molecule: long non-coding RNA, 646 nt
Organism: Quercus robur (English oak)
Lineage: Eukaryota; Viridiplantae; Streptophyta; Magnoliopsida; Fagales; Fagaceae
Exons: 3
Source: RefSeq, a predicted model, not a curated record